This 433-nucleotide ribosomal RNA is filed under the name uncultured bacterium. RNAcentral's name for it is "partial 16S ribosomal RNA". It matches the Rfam family "Bacterial small subunit ribosomal RNA", at positions 28 to 507 of the family's 1533-position model. The record is from RNAcentral.
GACGAACGCUGGCGGCAUGCCUAACACAUGCAAGUCGAACGAAGGCUUCGGCCUUAGUGGCGCACGGGUGCGUAACGCGUGGGAAUCUGCCCUUAGGUUCGGAAUAACAGUUAGAAAUGACUGCUAAUACCGGAUGAUGACGUAAGUCCAAAGAUUUAUCGCCUGAGGAUGAGCCCGCGUAGGAUUAGCUAGUUGGUGUGGUAAAGGCGCACCAAGGCGACGAUCCUUAGCUGGUCUGAUAGGAUGAUCAGCCACACUGGGACUGAGACACGGCCCAGACUCCUACGGGAGGCAGCAGUGGGGAAUAUUGGACAAUGGGCGCAAGCCUGAUCCAGCAAUGCCGCGUGAGUGAUGAAGGCCUUAGGGUUGUAAAGCUCUUUUACCCGUGAUGAUAAUGACAGUAGCGGGAGAAUAAGCCCCGGCUAACUCCGUG